GACGAACGCUGGCGGCGCGCCUAACACAUGCAAGUCGAACGAGCGAGAGAGAGCUUGCUUUCUCGAGCGAGUGGCGAACGGGUGAGUAACGCGUGAGGAACCUGCCUCAAAGAGGGGGACAACAGUUGGAAACGACUGCUAAUACCGCAUAAGCCCACGGGUCGGCAUCGACCAGAGGGAAAAGGAGCAAUCCGCUUUGAGAUGGCCUCGCGUCCGAUUAGCUAGUUGGUGAGGUAACGGCCCACCAAGGCAACGAUCGGUAGCCGGACUGAGAGGUUGAACGGCCACAUUGGGACUGAGACACGGCCCAGACUCCUACGGGAGGCAGCAGUGGGGAAUAUUGCACAAUGGGGGAAACCCUGAUGCAGCGACGCCGCGUGGAGGAAGAAGGUCUUCGGAUUGUAAACUCCUGUUGUUGGGGAAGAUAAUGACGGUACCCAACAAGGAAGUGACGGCUAACUACGUGCCAGCAGCCGCGGUAAAACGUAGGUCACAAGCGUUGUCCGGAAUUACUGGGUGUAAAGGGAGCGCAGGCGGGAAGACAAGUUGGAAGUGAAAUCUAUGGGCUCAACCCAUAAACUGCUUUCAAAACUGUUUUUCUUGAGUAGUGCAGAGGUAGGCGGAAUUCCCGGUGUAGCGGUGGAAUGCGUAGAUAUCGGGAGGAACACCAGUGGCGAAGGCGGCCUACUGGGCACCAACUGACGCUGAGGCUCGAAAGUGUGGGUAGCAAACAAAA
RNAcentral lists this ribosomal RNA (736 nucleotides) under uncultured bacterium. Its description in RNAcentral is "bacterial SSU rRNA". It matches the Rfam family "Bacterial small subunit ribosomal RNA", at positions 28 to 777 of the family's 1533-position model. The record is from RNAcentral.